AGAGGGUGCAAGCGUUAAUCGGAAUUACUGGGCGUAAAGCGCGCGUAGGUGGUUUGUUAAGUUGGAUGUGAAAGCCCCGGGCUCAACCUGGGAACUGCAUUCAAAACUGACAAGCUAGAGUAUGGUAGAGGGUGGUGGAAUUUCCUGUGUAGCGGUGAAAUGCGUAGAUAUAGGAAGGAACACCAGUGGCGAAGGCGACCACCUGGACUGAUACUGACACUGAGGUGCGAAAGCGUGGGGAGCAAAC
Molecule: ribosomal RNA, 247 nt
Filed under: uncultured Pseudomonas sp.
Lineage: Bacteria; Pseudomonadati; Pseudomonadota; Gammaproteobacteria; Pseudomonadales; Pseudomonadaceae
Description: partial 16S ribosomal RNA
Rfam family: Bacterial small subunit ribosomal RNA
Source: RNAcentral